This is a long non-coding RNA of Gossypium arboreum, 839 nucleotides long. RefSeq lists it as uncharacterized. Lineage: Eukaryota; Viridiplantae; Streptophyta; Magnoliopsida; Malvales; Malvaceae. The transcript has 2 exons. The record is from RefSeq and is a predicted model, not a curated record.
UUCUCGCCUGUGAGAGCAGACCCUGAACCAGCUUGAGCAGCUUCUCCACGCUUUCCAAGUCCAUAAAUUGCUUCAAGCUCACCAAACAGUCCAUAUUUACUAUCCAAAUUCCUGCUUCUCUCACUUGUAGAUUGACCAGGUUGUUGCAAAACUUUGUUGUACUUAGUCCCCUCUAUCAUUUUAGCUCCAUCUGCACUACACUGCCUAUCAUCACAUCUGUUUAAGGGCUUCCUGGUAACAUUUUAACAAACACAUGGCUGACAAAGAAAUCAACUUUGAAAAGAAAAGAAUAAAAAAAGAGCAAUCUUUAUAAAUUACCAAAAGGGUUCUUUGAUGGGAAAAUCUUCUUGAGGAGGCAAACAACGGGGCAAGAAAAGGGAAUGUUGUUGCUGUUGCUCAUUUCCAUGGAGAAAAGUAGCACCAUUUUGCUGAUGAUUCAAAGGUUCUGGGUGUUGAAAUGGUUGAAACUGAUGGUGGAAAAGCUGAUGGGUAACUGGAUUUUCAUGUUGUUUAUUAUGUUGUUGAGAAGGGUAAGGGAAAACAGGUUGUUGUUGGUGAUUAUGAGGAUUGGAAAUGAAGAAAAUUGAAGCGGAUGAAGAAGCAUCAUCAUCCUCCAUGAAUUGCUGUUGUUGUAGAUGAUGAUGAUGAUGGUGGUGAUGAUGGGCACCAUAUUUGAUGGGAUGCAUUUCUUUUGAAGGUUUUUUUUCUAUUUUUUUUUUAAUGUUUAUUGAACAACAUUAAUCCAAGAAGGAACCAAACGAGGGUCUUUCUUCAUAGAAAUGUUGAAUUAAACACUGAUUUUUUUUUAAAGGAAAAAAAGAGCAGCUGUUUUAUGGGAA